CUGGUUGAUCCUGCCAGUAGUGAUAUGCUUGUUUCAAAGAUUAAGCCAUGCAUGUCUAAGUAUAAGCGACCUUAUACAGUGAAACUGCGGAUGGCUCAUUCAGACAGUUUGAAUUUAUUUGAUGAAUGUAUGAGAAUACUACUUGGAUAACCGUAGUAAUUCUAGAGCUAAUACAUGCAACGACGCCCGACCGUUUCACUACGGAAGGGCUGUAUUUAUUGGAUACCAAAACCAUCCUUCCCUCGGGAAGUUUUGUUUGAUGAUUCACAAUAACUGAUCGGAUCGCCACUGUGGUGGCGACAGGUCAUUCAACAUUCUGCCCUAUCAGCUUUCGAUGGUUGUGUAGUGGACAACCAUGGCCAUAACGGGUAACGGAGAAUCAGGGUUCGAUUCCGGAGAAGGAGCUUGAGAAUUGGCUACUACAUCUAAGGAAGGCAGCAGGCGCGCAAAUUACCCAAUCCCGAUUCGGGGAGGUAGUGACAAAAAAUAACAAUACCGGGCCUUUUUGGGCUUGGUAAUUGGUAUGAGGGAGAGUUAAACGGACCAUCGAGUAUCCAUUGGAGGGCAAGUCUGGUGCCAGCAGCUGCGGUAAUACCAGCUCCAAUAGCGUAUAUUAAAGUUGUUGCAGUUAAAAAGCUCGUAGUUGGACUUGUGUGCGCUGUCUGCGGGUGGCCUGCGCCCAAAAGGGCGUUUCGGUUCGGCCCCGGUGGCGCCUUGAAAUCUGCAGCUGGGGGGACGUUGGCCUUAACUGGUCGGCGACCGCACGCCGGCUGCUCGGUUACUGUGAGAAAAUUAGAGUGUUCAAGGCAGGCAUUGGGUGCAAUUGAAUACAUUAGCAUGGAAUAAUAAAAUAUGGCUCCUGCCGUAUUUUGUUGGUUUUGACUGGUGGGAGUAAUGAUUGAUAGGGACGGUUGGGGGUGCUAGUAUUGAGCGGCCAGAGGUGAAAUUCAUGGAUUCGCUCAAGACUAACUUAUGCGAAAGCAUUCACCAAGGACGUCCUCUUUAAUCAAGAACGAAAGUUGGGGGAUCGAAGACGAUCAGAUACCGUCGUAGUCUCAACCAUAAACUAUGUCGACUUGGGAUCGGCGGUAGUUUUUUCAUUAAGACACUGUCGGGACCACGGGAGAAAUCAAAGUGUCUGGACUCUGGGGGAAGUAUGGUCGCAAGGCUGAAACUUGAAGGAAUUGACGGAAGGGCACCACCAGGAGUGGAGCCUGCGGCUUAAUUUGACCCAACACGGGGAAACUUACCAGGUCCAGAGAUGUAGAGGAUUGACAGAUUGAAGCUCUUUCUUGAUCACUUCGGUGGUGGUGCAUGGC
RNAcentral lists this ribosomal RNA (1319 nucleotides) under metagenome. Its description in RNAcentral is "SSU rRNA". It matches the Rfam family "Eukaryotic small subunit ribosomal RNA", at positions 4 to 1288 of the family's 1831-position model. The record is from RNAcentral.